GCCAUGUUUCUUCUGCCUCCUGUGGAAAUGGACUUAAUGCUUUUGCUGUAACUUUAUCUUGAAAUAGUAAUCAUAAAUGAAUCAUGGUAAAUCAGGUUGAUGUUUUGCUCUACUAAAAUCUUGUGACUGCAGGUAGGAAGAGUUGGGAGCGAACAGUCUGAGGAAGUGGACUGUGGAAGCUGAAGGUUGUCCAGCCAAAGCUGAGUGUGUGGCUCUGACACUGACCAAGGCUGGAAAGAGUUACUGUGUGGACAGAGAAUGUUAGAGCCGGGUGAGCUUUCACAGGAUGAAAGAAGCGAGGAGAGAAUCGAAUGGAAAGAAUUGCUGAGAUCAGGCAGCUGGCAAAAGAGGAGAGAGCCCCUGCGAGGCAGAGCCCCUGGAAUGCCCUGUCCUGGUCUGAGGUUCCCACUUUUAUCUCCGACUCCCGGAGAAUUGCUGGAGCAGAACCAGAGAGUGUCCAUUUUAUUUCCUGCCUUUUCCAAUAAACGGUGACUUUCAGCUGGA
Long non-coding RNA from Prinia subflava (tawny-flanked prinia), 504 nucleotides. RefSeq lists it as uncharacterized. NCBI's taxonomy places the organism in Eukaryota, Metazoa, Chordata, Aves, Passeriformes, Cisticolidae. The record is from RefSeq and is a predicted model, not a curated record. The transcript has 2 exons.